This 566-nucleotide ribosomal RNA is filed under the name Entamoeba histolytica. RNAcentral's name for it is "SSU rRNA". It matches the Rfam family "Eukaryotic small subunit ribosomal RNA", at positions 994 to 1454 of the family's 1831-position model. Lineage: Eukaryota; Evosea; Mastigamoebida; Endamoebidae. The record is from RNAcentral.
GGGAUCGAAGACGAUCAGAUACCGUCGUAGUCCUAACUAUAAACGAUGUCAACCAAGGAUUGGAUGAAAUUCAGAUGUACAAAGAUGAAGAAGCAUUGUUUCUUAAUCUGAGUAUAUCAAUAUUACCUUGUUCAGAACUUAAAGAGAAAUCUUGAGUUUAUGGACUUCAGGGGGAGUAUGGUCACAAGGCUGAAACUUAAAGGAAUUGACGGAAGGGCACACCAGGAGUGGAGCCUGCGGCUUAAUUUGACUCAACACGGGAAAACUUACCAAGACCGAACAGUAGAAGGAAUGACAGAUUAAGAGUUCUUUCAUGAUUUAUUGGGUAGUGGUGCAUGGCCGUUCUUAGUUGGUGGAGUGAUUUGUCAGGUUAAUUCCGGUAACGAACGAGACUGAAACCUAUUAAUUAGUUUUCUGCCUAUAAGACAGAAAUGUUCGCAAGAACAGGUGCGUAAGUACCACUUCUUAAAGGGACACAUUUCAAUUGUCCUAUUUUAAUUGUAGUUAUCUAAUUUCGGUUAGAGCUCUUUUAACGUGGGAAAAAGAAAAAGGAAGCAUUCAGCAAU